AGAAACCAGAGCCGACACCCUGCUGGGAGAGCCGCUGACAAUUUAGCCUAGUGGAAGACCAGCGCCUCUUCCUAAUUGGUGCCUGUUACACCUAACUUAAAUGUCCAUAUGAAAAAAAAAAACUUUGAGCAAGUGAGGAGACUGCUGAGGGAGGAAGCGUGGUACUCCACUUUGUCUUCAAGGUUUUCAAGAGGUAGUAGACCUUGGUAGUUCGGCACAGAAUCAUCAAGAUCAGUGAGACAAUCUGAUUUAUCGUGCCUGCCAAGGUCUGUGCGGCUGAGAUGUGGAGGGAGGCCAGGCCAGAGGGGAGGCUGAGGAGGUGUGGGCUACCGAGUCUGGCAGGUAAAUUAUGUUGCUAUAGCGAGCAGACAGAAUGCACCAGUGUUCACGCUGAUUUAUCGCAGACGCAUCUCGAAGCACUUUACCAACAAAAUGAGGCGACGCCGGUGCGAAACAAUGAAUCAGAGCAAGGUGACAAAACAGAGACGGAGAGUGAACAGAAACAAACAUGACUGGGACACAAAAAGGCCCCAGAAAACCUUUUUAUGUCGACACACAUGCUUAUUGAAACGGCUGAAAAUACAUUUUCUGGCAUUCUGUGCUUGUUUACCUUGCUGUUCAUUUUUUUGUUGUCUGGAUUUUAGGCAGUAAAAAUAAAAGCCUUUCAAAG
This is a long non-coding RNA of Myripristis murdjan (pinecone soldierfish), 670 nucleotides long. RefSeq lists it as uncharacterized. The record is from RefSeq and is a predicted model, not a curated record. NCBI's taxonomy places the organism in Eukaryota, Metazoa, Chordata, Actinopteri, Holocentriformes, Holocentridae. The transcript has 4 exons.